Molecule: ribosomal RNA, 225 nt
Filed under: uncultured bacterium
Lineage: Bacteria
Description: partial 16S ribosomal RNA
Rfam family: Bacterial small subunit ribosomal RNA
Source: RNAcentral
ACUAAAGAAACCUGCCUCAUAGACUGGGACAACUAUUGGAAACGAUAGCUAAUACCGGAUAGCAGCAUUAACUGCAUGGUUGAUGUUUAAAAGUUGGUUUUGCUAACACUAUGAGAUGGCUUUACGGUGCAUUAGCUAGUUGGUGGGGUAAAGGCCUACCAAGGCGACGAUGCAUAGCCGACCUGAGAGGGUGAUCGGCCACACUGGGACUGAGACACGGCCCAG